RNAcentral lists this long non-coding RNA (628 nucleotides) under Callithrix jacchus (white-tufted-ear marmoset). RNAcentral's name for it is "lncRNA (ENSCJAG00000078573.1)". Lineage: Eukaryota; Metazoa; Chordata; Mammalia; Primates; Cebidae. The record is from RNAcentral.
GACAAACCACAGCACUGAAGCCAGCCUUUCUUCUUUCUGCCAACAGGCGCCCACAAACGCCUAAAUUUAGAAGCUGGCAAUUGCACUCAUUUAGGAUUUUAGGAGAAACUCAGUGCAGUUCCCUAGGAUAAUUCUGGACAUGCUCUUCUGUAAGCCAGGACGCUCCACCUGUCACAGUUCAACAUUUACGGAGUACCUACUGUGGACCAAGCAUUGUUCUGGAUCAAUAUACUUUGAACCAUAAAUUUAAUUUAAAAUUUUCUAACAAUCACAUAAGACAUACUAAAAAGAAACAGAUAGCUAUGUAUGGAGGCCCUCCCACUGUGCAUACUGACAAGCUGUGACCUGCCUUUAGCCAGGGUUUGAGGACUUGCUCCCUGCUCUCUCUGCUCACAGAACAACCCAGGGCUGGCUCUGGAAGCGAGUGGCUUGGAUUCCAACCUUGACUUGUGUUAUGCCCUUGCUGUAUCUUCUUUGGCUGGUUAUUUAACUUCACUGGGUCUUGCUUUGCUCAUAUGUAAAAUGGGGAUAAUAAUAGUAGCAAUUAAUGAGGGUUUGUGAGGAUAUGAAUGUGAAAUGAUUAGACUGUGUCUGGCACAUAAUAAGCAAUCAAUAAAUGGCAGCGCUG